RNAcentral lists this long non-coding RNA (1045 nucleotides) under Oreochromis niloticus (Nile tilapia). RNAcentral describes it as "lncRNA (ENSONIG00000036162.1)". The record is from RNAcentral. Lineage: Eukaryota; Metazoa; Chordata; Actinopteri; Cichliformes; Cichlidae.
CAGUGAAUGAGCAAAGAUGAGAGGAACACACAAAGUAAAAGGUCAGAGGGAAGCAGAACAUGUUCUCAUGUUUAUUCAGAUUUGCUUAAUGAAGUUUAGACAAUAAUGAUCACACUGAUGAUGUGACAGUUUCCUUCUGGUCCCUCCUCUGAGGUCAGAGCCUGAAGAUGUUUCAAUCAGACACUCUGAAGCUCUUUGAGUGUGGAGAGAGUAAAACAUGUGACAUCAAUGUCUCAAAGUCACAAUAAUAAGAAGAACGUUUCAUCUUUAUCAAAGUCACAUCACAUGUUACAAAGUGCUGCCCCACUGCUGUGUGCACCAUAUGAACAUGUGACACCAUCUCAGUGUUUAAGUGAACUCCUCAUCCUCUCCUUCAGUCUGAACCAGGAAGUGAUGUCAGCACAGAUCAGAGUUUUUCCUCUUUGACUGAAUGUUGUAGGUGAAACUUUUAGAGGACAGCAAUCAGCUGCUCUGUGAUUCUACAGCCUGUGAUUCCAGUUUUUACAGAUUCAAGAAGAUCUGAGGCCGACUCAAUGAUCUGCUGUGAGAACACACUCACAUGUGACAGAAACCCUCAGAGACACAAAGUAACAUUUUAGUGUUUUGUAAUAAAGUAACACACUGACACUGAUCACAGCUUCACUUUCUCUGAAAGCAGCUUUGAGCAGCAAUCAGCAGGAUUCUGGUGAUCAGCUGUUCAGGUUUAGGACGGAGCUCAGACGAUCCUGGUCACACUGAGCAGGGACGGUUUGCUCAUCUGGACUGUUUGUGUUGUUGUUUGAUAGCAUCACGGUGUCAUAUAUCAAUCAAUCAAAGCUUUAUUCGUCACAUGCAGGUUGCCCUGCAGUGAAAUGGGACCCCCCCCCGACCUUACACAUACAACACAGACAUUACAUGGGGAUACAGGUCGGAGAUUGGUAGCAUUAGAGAAAAACAUUGAAAUGUACAUUACAAUGGGAAAGUACAAGAGGAACAAAAGAGACCCCUACUCAUGCUGUGCCUCCAUGGUAGGACAGCAUGAGAACAGGAAACAAAAAAACUCCUC